This 915-nucleotide ribosomal RNA is filed under the name uncultured marine archaeon. RNAcentral describes it as "bacterial SSU rRNA". It matches the Rfam family "Archaeal small subunit ribosomal RNA", at positions 1 to 922 of the family's 1478-position model. The record is from RNAcentral.
UUCCGGUUGAUCCUGCCGGACCUGACUGCUAUCGGAUUGAUACUAAGCCAUGCGAGUCUUUGUAGUAAUACAAGGCAGACGGCUCAGUAACACGUAGUCAACCUACCCUAUGGACAAGAAUAAUCUCGGGAAACUGGGCAUAAUUCUUGAUAGAUCAUAAUGCCUGGAAUGGUUUAUGGUUAAAAUGAUUCGUCGCCAUAGGAUGGGACUGCGGCCUAUCAGCUUGUUGGUGAGGUAAUGGCCCACCAAGGCGAUUACAGGUACGGGCUCUGAGAGGAGAAGCCCGGAGAUGGGUACUGAGACACGGACCCAGGCCCUAUGGGGCGCAGCAGGCGAGAAAACUUUGCAAUGUGCGAAAGCACGACAAGGUUAAUCCGAGUGAUUUCUGCUAAAGAAAUCUUUUGCCAGUCAUAAAACCACUGGUGAAUAAGGGGUGGGCAAGUUCUGGUGUCAGCCGCCGCGGUAAAACCAGCACCUCAAGUGGUCAGGAUGAUUAUUGGGCCUAAAGCAUCCGUAGCCGGCUUUGUUAGUUUUCGGUUAAAUCCAUGUGCUCAACGCAUGGGCUGCCGAAAAUACUGCAUAGCUAGGGAGUGGGAGAGGUAGACGGUACUCAGUAGGAAGGGGUAAAAUCCUUUGAUCUAUUGAUGACCACCUGUGGCGAAGGCGGUCUACCAGAACACGUUCGACGGUGAGGGAUGAAAGCUGGGGGAGCAAACCGGAUUAGAUACCCGGGUAGUCCCAGCUGUAAACGAUGCAGACUCGAUGAUGCAUUGGCAUAAUAGCCAGUGCAGUGUCGCAGGGAAGCCGUUAAGUCUGCCGCCUGGGAAGUACGUACGCAAGUAUGAAACUUAAAGGAAUUGGCGGGGGAGCACCACAAGGGGUGAAGCCUGCGGUUCAAUUGGAGUCAACGCCGGG